GAUGAAGAACGCAGCGAAAUGCGAUAAGUAGUGUGAAUUGCAGAAUUCAGUGAAUCAUCGAAUCUUUGAACGCACAUUGCGCCCUUUGGUAUUCCAAAGGGCAUGCCUGUUCGAGCGUCAUUUGUACCCUCAAGCUUUGCUUGGUGUUGGGCGUCUUGUCUCUAGCUUUGCUGGAGACUCGCCUUAAAGUAAUUGGCAGCCGGCCUACUGGUUUCGGAGCGCAGCACAAGUCGCACUCUCUAUCAGCAAAGGUCUAGCAUCCAUUAAGCCUAUUUUUCAACUUUUGACCUCGGAUCAGGUAGGGAUACCCGCUGAACUUAAGCAUAUCAAUAAGCGGAGGA
RNAcentral lists this unclassified non-coding RNA (341 nucleotides) under soil metagenome. Its description in RNAcentral is "partial contains 5.8S ribosomal RNA, internal transcribed spacer 2, and large subunit ribosomal RNA". The stretch from base 1 to 120 matches the Rfam family "5.8S ribosomal RNA", at positions 35 to 154 of the family's 154-position model. The record is from RNAcentral.